AUUGAACGCUGGCGGCAGGCCUAGCACAUGCAAGUCGAAUGGUAACAGGAAACAGCUUGCUGUUUCGCUGACGAGUGGCGGACGGGUGAGUAAUGUCUGGGAAACUGCCUGAUGGAGGGGGAUAACUACUGGAAACGGUAGCUAAUACCGCAUAACGUCGCAAGACCAAAGAGGGGGACCUUCGGGCCUCUUGCCAUCAGAUGUGCCCUGAUGGGAUUAGCUAGUAGGUGGGGUAACGGCUCACCUAGGCGACGAUCCCUAGCUGGUCUGAGAGGAUGACCAGCCACACUGGAACUGAGACACGGUCCAGACUCCUACGGGAGGCAGCAGUGGGGAAUAUUGCACAAUGGGCGCAAGCCUGAUGCAGCCAUGCCGCGUGUAUGAAGAAGGCCUUCGGGUUGUAAAGUACUUUCAGCGGGGAGGAAGGGAGUAAAGUUAAUACCUUUGCUCAUUGACGUUACCCGCAGAAGAAGCACCGGCUAACUCCGUG
This 490-nucleotide ribosomal RNA is filed under the name uncultured bacterium. RNAcentral describes it as "partial 16S ribosomal RNA". It matches the Rfam family "Bacterial small subunit ribosomal RNA", at positions 30 to 507 of the family's 1533-position model. The record is from RNAcentral.